Molecule: long non-coding RNA, 393 nt
Organism: Daphnia carinata
Lineage: Eukaryota; Metazoa; Arthropoda; Branchiopoda; Diplostraca; Daphniidae
Exons: 3
Source: RefSeq, a predicted model, not a curated record
UGUCUGCUAGCAAGGAUGAGAUUCGGGAUUGAGAAUACAAAGACAACAAAGAGCCCAUAUUCACGUUGUAGCACAAAACUUGUACAACCGUGAUUCUUCACGAACAUUAGCAAUUUGGAAUGCUUAACAGGGAAUGAGUGUAAAAAGUGCCAAAUGUGAGCCACAUAAGACGUGUAGAAGGCAUGACUGAAUGGCUUGGCCAUUUUGGGUGAUGAUUUGGACCCAGUGGAUUUUGAAAGAGCUUAUGAUCACAUCAAAGCAGCCUCCACUUUUGCUGAUGAUCUAUUAAAUCAUACUUGAAUUACAACAAUGUACCUGAUCAUUUGAUGUUUGUAUCAUACCGAUUAAAUUGGAUAUGAACCAUAUCUGCUUUCUGAAACUACAGGUGGAUGC